This 253-nucleotide ribosomal RNA is filed under the name uncultured bacterium. RNAcentral describes it as "partial 16S ribosomal RNA". It matches the Rfam family "Bacterial small subunit ribosomal RNA", at positions 524 to 776 of the family's 1533-position model. The record is from RNAcentral.
UACAGAGGGUGCAAGCGUUAAUCGGAAUUACUGGGCGUAAAGGGCGCGUAGGUGGUUGCGUAAGAGAGAUGUGAAAUCCCCGGGCUUAACCUGGGAAUUGCAUCUUUAACUGCGUAGCUGGAGUGCAGUAGAGGGUAGUGGAAUUUCUGGUGUAGCGGUGAAAUGCGUAGAUAUCAGAAGGAACACCAGUGGCGAAGGCGGCUACCUGGACUGACACUGACACUGAGGCGCGAAAGCGUGGGGAGCAAACAGG